UAAUACGUAGGCAGCGAGCGUUGUUCGGAGUUACUGGGCGUAAAGCGUGCGUAGGCGGUGAUCCAAGUCUGGUGUGAAAUCUCCCGGCUUAACCGGGAGGGUGCGCCGGAAACUGGAUCGCUGGAGUGCGGGAGAGGCAGGCGGAAUUCCAGGUGUAGCGGUGAAAUGCGUAGAUAUCUGGAGGAACACCCGUGGUGCAGACGGCCUGCUGGACCGUGACUGACGCUGAGGCACGAAAGCGUGGGUAGCAAACAGGAUUAGAUACCCUGGUAGUCCACGCCCUAAACGAUGCAUAUUUGGUGUGGGCAGUUCAGUCUGUCCGUGCCGAAGCUAACGCGAUAAAUAUGCCGCCUGGGGAGUACGGUCGCAAGGCUG
Molecule: ribosomal RNA, 375 nt
Filed under: uncultured bacterium
Lineage: Bacteria
Description: bacterial SSU rRNA
Rfam family: Bacterial small subunit ribosomal RNA
Source: RNAcentral